CAGCCGCCGCGGUAAUACCGGCGGCCCGAGUGGCGGUCACUAUUAUUGGGCUUAAAGCGUCCGUAGCCGGGUUGGGAAGUCCUCCGGGAAAUCUGGCCGCUUAACGGUCAGAAUGCCGGAGGAUACUCCCAGCCUAGGGGGCGGGAGAGGCCGAGGGUAUUCCCGGAGUAGGGGUGAAAUCCUAUAAUCCCGGGAGGACCACCUGUGGCGAAGGCGCUCGGCUGGAACGCGUCCGACGGUGAGGGACGAAGGCCAGGGGAGCAAACCGGAUUAGAUACCCGGGUAGUCCUGGCUGUAAACGAUGCGGACGUUGUGUCGGACAAGCUAUGAGCUUGUCCGGUGCCGGAGGGAAACCGUUAAGUCCGCCGCCUGGGGAGUACGGCCGCAAGGCUGAAACUUAAAGGAAUUGGCGGG
This 414-nucleotide ribosomal RNA is filed under the name uncultured microorganism. RNAcentral's name for it is "bacterial SSU rRNA". It matches the Rfam family "Archaeal small subunit ribosomal RNA", at positions 459 to 872 of the family's 1478-position model. The record is from RNAcentral.